This 330-nucleotide unclassified non-coding RNA is filed under the name Methylobacterium gossipiicola. RNAcentral's name for it is "Long range pseudoknot". Lineage: Bacteria; Pseudomonadati; Pseudomonadota; Alphaproteobacteria; Hyphomicrobiales; Methylobacteriaceae. The record is from RNAcentral.
AUCGACAAGCACGAUUACGACACCAAGAUGAAGGCCGUGGUCCGGUUCUUCGAGGAGGGCGACAAGGUCAAGGUGACCCUGCGCUUCCGUGGCCGCGAGAUGGCGCACCAGGAUAUCGGCCUGCGCCUUCUCGAACGGGUGAAGAACGAGACCCAGGAGAUCGCCAAGGUGGAAAGCGAACCGAUGCUCGAAGGCCGCCAGAUGAUUAUGAUCCUGGCGCCGCGCUAAGGCGCGUUCGCAUCGUCGUCGCACGAUCCACGCCGCUUUCCUUCGGAAGGCGGCGUUUUUCGUGUGUCGUGUUUCAUCAACGGCCCCGCCGUUGAUCGCAGA